This is a long non-coding RNA of Astatotilapia calliptera (eastern happy), 1357 nucleotides long. Lineage: Eukaryota; Metazoa; Chordata; Actinopteri; Cichliformes; Cichlidae. The record is from Ensembl.
CACAAAAUCAACCAAUCACAGACUUGGUUUCAAAAAUUCUGAUUGGCUCUUACGGUCUCCAAUCAGCUCGCUAGCUACUGCUUUCCGGACACCGGAAACACUGUCCACUCAGCCUCGCUUCUUGCAGAUAGAGGGAUUUUUGAUUUACUCUGCAGCUAAAGAAGAGAUGGCAGAAUCAAACAAUGGCUCCAAUAAUACUACACCACAGUAUCAGGUGAGUUUAAUUUUUUUUGUGUGAAUUUAGUAAUUUACUGUCCUUUCUGUUUAAUAUGCUGUGAAAUUGUAGUUACAGAUGCAGCUGUAGAGUUUAAGCUAGCCUUAUGGGUAAUUACCAGCGUAGUUGUCUUACUGAGGCAGUGUAUCGUAAUCAUGUUUUUUAGGGUAAUGGUGCAGUUGAGUCAGCAGUAAGAAAUCUGGUGUCUUUGCUGCUUAACAACAUAUCCACAAAUCCUUCAGGGAGGCCAACAGAGAGUGGGCAGCCGGAGCCUAGAAAUCUGACUAUCCAGCAAGAGAUGACAAGGUUUUUGCUUUUUUUGUGUGUUUUUUUUAUUUUAACUUUUUGCAAUCUUUUCUGUUAAAGUUAUUUGGUUUGUGGAUUUAUCAACAUUGAUUUUUAAAUUAAAAUGUGCUAUUAAGGACUGAUGUCAUAUUUAAUAACUUUAUUAAACAAUAACCCUUAUGUUAUGCAACACUGCAUUUUUUAAACUCAUGCAUUUUCAUCCCACAGGUCAUUUCCAGGAUAUUUCAAAUCACACUUGAGCCGUGGUAAAAAGAGAUGUUUAACAUCUACUAAGCAGCUUGUUAAGGCAGGCAGUAAGACCACAGGCCUCAGUUUUUAUUUGCUGUCAAAAAACACAUCCUACACACCUUUGCCAGCUGAGGAGCUUGAACUCCUACAAGCUGGCAUGGGGAGACAAACAGUGUCUCUUCCAGAAGAUGGUGACUAGGGCUGCUCAAUUAAUCGAAUUUUAAUCACGAUUACGAUCUGGGCUUUCAACGAUCAUUAAAAAUGACUGAGCCGAUUAUUAGCCCCUCCCUAAUUUAUCCGCGACACCUUAAAGGCCGGUCCGUGAAAAUAUUGUCGGGCAUAAACUGGUCCGUGGCACAAAAAAGGUUGGAGACCGCUGAUUAAGAGGACCCGAGGGAAGCUCGGAAAGCUAAGCAGAAGUUAUUUGGAGAGUGACUGCCGUUGGUUGAAAAGAGAGUUUAAAAGAAAAAAACUUCAGUGGUGUUGCACACUAUUUUAUAUUAUUUUUUUAAAGUCAUUGUUAACCCUUUAAAGCCGGUCAGAGCAGCACGCUCCGUUUUGCGUAACUAUUUUUAAAUCCCUGUAGAACCUGAACCGUGUAAGCUAGCG